Dermacentor albipictus is the source of this 850-nucleotide long non-coding RNA. RefSeq lists it as uncharacterized. The record is from RefSeq and is a predicted model, not a curated record. NCBI's taxonomy places the organism in Eukaryota, Metazoa, Arthropoda, Arachnida, Ixodida, Ixodidae.
CAAUGGAACAUGCAAAUAAUGGCUGAGUCAGCAGACGCACAACCUUUAUUUCAAUAAUAUCAAGCUGUAGAAACGCUCAUGGUUGCCUGAGUAACGCUUGUGUACGUUCGUGGAAGCUCUGGUAAUAUGGCUGCACUCAAAUGUGUGCUUUUGCUUCUUGUCAUCAGAAAUGAUGUGAAUGCUGCAAGAUGGAAAUCUGAGUACUGUCUUCAACCUCCAUCAUAUGGGACCUGCAAAGGGCGUAUUGCAUCUUGGUACUAUGACCCGGGGAUAGAAAAUUGUAAGAUGUUUUACUACUCAGGUUGUGGUGAAAACAAAAACCGAUUUUCCUCAGAAGGCUGGUGCCAGUGGUAUUGCCUACCCAGAAACAAGUUGCGGAAGAAUGUUUGCAGCCGGAGGUAAUAUGGUGAGAAGUGCUAUGGCCGAACGCAGCGAUGGUACUUUGAUUACAAGAACAACAUAUGCCGUGAAUUUAAGCAUGGCUACUGUGGACUUGUGCCUAAUCGGUUCGACACUUGUGAGCAAUGCAUAAGGAGAUGCAGUGAUUCUGAUCCCAAUGUUUCCUGCACUGUGCCUGAUGGCACGAAGAAAGGGUAAUGGACGGACACACAUUAUCGCUCUACGAUAACACAUCGAGAAUGUCUUCGAAACGGACAAUCGGUGCUUUCGGCCAGAACUUCUGAACACGCAGCUCCGGGGUUACAUGAAAUUUCUAAAAAGCAUGGAAUAAAUGUGUGUGCUCGAUUCGUUCAUGUGCAGCGUUUAGGACUCUGCACUGGAACGUUUUAUGCGUCUUGGUACGUUACACAAAACUGGUUAUAUUGGCAUGAGAAACUUUUAUCCCUGAACA